AUUGUUCACCCACCAAUA
Molecule: small nuclear RNA, 18 nt
Filed under: Arabidopsis thaliana (thale cress)
Lineage: Eukaryota; Viridiplantae; Streptophyta; Magnoliopsida; Brassicales; Brassicaceae
Description: snRNA_10759
Source: RNAcentral